GAUUAUUCUAAAGACCUGCAUUAAUAUAUUCCAUUUCUCGACGUCCUAUCACUUAACAAGUAUCCAUCGUUCUUAGCAUAAGUGACAAAUAAUUUAAUAAUAGAUAACUAAGAUAUCAAAUUAAAAAUUUAAUUGUUUCAUAUUUUUAGUUAAAUUUAUUUUUUAAAAAAUAAACGCUGCGAGUAAUAUGUUAAGAUUGGGGGUAUGGG
Molecule: long non-coding RNA, 209 nt
Filed under: Ananas comosus (pineapple)
Lineage: Eukaryota; Viridiplantae; Streptophyta; Magnoliopsida; Poales; Bromeliaceae
Description: long non-coding RNA (ACOM_LNC018903)
Source: RNAcentral